Molecule: small RNA, 61 nt
Filed under: Lactobacillus acidophilus
Lineage: Bacteria; Bacillati; Bacillota; Bacilli; Lactobacillales; Lactobacillaceae
Description: crRNA_13
Source: RNAcentral
UGAUCCCGAUUUGCGUGGCAAAUGAAUGGUUGAUCUUGAAUUUUCUCCACGUAUGUGGAGG